This 65-nucleotide transfer RNA is filed under the name Tricholepidion gertschi. RNAcentral's name for it is "tRNA-Glu". The record is from RNAcentral. Lineage: Eukaryota; Metazoa; Arthropoda; Insecta; Zygentoma; Lepidotrichidae.
AUUCCUGUAGUGUAAAUAACACAUUAUCUUUUCAUGAUAAAAUUAGAAAUACUUUCUUUGGAGUU